UGACACUUCGUAGAUGUUAUCUGACUACUCCUCUACAUUUCUAUCUAUUGAUGAGGAUCCUACUCUUUUAGUAUAACAAGUACAAUUGACUUCCAAUCAAUCAGUUUUGACAACAUUCAAAAAAGAGUAAUUAACCUAGUACUAGCCUUAACAAUCAACACCCUACUAACCUCACUACUGAUAGUUAUCAUAUUCUGGUUACCCCAACUCAACUCCUACGCAGAAAAAACUAGCCCCUACGAAUGUGGAUUUGACCCCUUAAAUCCUGCUCGCAUCCCAUUCUCAAUAAAAUUCUUCCUAGUCGCCAUUACUUUCCUACUAUUUGACCUAGAAAUCGCCCUACUACUAUCCUUACCAUGAGCCAUUCAAACAACAAACCUCCCAACAAUAAUCAAAUCGACCAUCGCUUUUAUUAUUAUCCUAAUUCUCAGCCUAGCCUACGAAUGAACUCAAAAGGGGCUAGACUGAGCUGAAUUGGUAAGUAGUUUAAACAAAAUAAAUGAUUUCGACUCAUUAGAUUAUGAUAACCAUACUAACCAAAUGACCCCCACCUAUAUAAACAUCAUACUAGCAUUUACUAUCUCUCUUCUAGGCAUACUAACCUACCGCUCACACUUAGUAGCUUCUCUCCUCUGCCUAGAAGGGAUAAUAAUAUCACUCUUCAUCAUAACCACUCUUAUUGCUUCAAACACACACUUUCCCCUAGUCAACAUUAUACCCAUUAUUUUGCUAGUAUUUGCUGCUUGUGAGACAGCAGUAGGUCUUGCCUUACUAAUCUCAAUCUCCAACACAUACGGACUAGAUUACGUUCACAACCUGAACCUGCUUCAAUGCUAAAAAUAAUUAUCCCCACGACCAUACUACUACCCAUAACAUGACUUUCUAAAAACGACACAAUCUGAAUCAACUUAACUACACACAGCUUAGCUAUCAGCCUCAUUCCCUUACUAUUCUUCAACCAAACCAACACCAACCUCCUCAAUCACUCAACCUACCUAUCCUCUGACCCUCUAACAACACCCCUCCUAACACUAACUAUCUGACUCCUACCCCUCAUGAUUAUAGCGAGCCAGUAUCACCUGUGCAACGAACCCCCCUUACAAAAGAAACUUUUCCUCUUCACAACAAUUCUCCUACAAAUCACCUUAAUUCUGACAUUCAUGGCCACAGAACUAAUUAUAUUCUACAUUCUAUUUGAAACCACCCUUAUCCCCACCCUAAUUAUCAUUACUAAAUGAGGUAGCCAAGCAAAACGCCUUAACGCAAGUACAUACUUUCUAUUCUACACACUAACCGGUUCUCUACCCCUACUCAUCAUACUGAGCCACACCUACAACAACACAGGCUCACUAAACAUCACACUACUAACACUCACAGACCAAAAACUAACAACCACCUGGUCCCACAACUUUACCUGACUAGCAUGCAUAAUAGCCUUUAUGACAAAAAUACCCCUCUAUGGCUUACACCUAUGACUCCCUAAGGCCCAUGUUGAAGCCCCCAUUGCAGGGUCAAUAGUCCUUGCCGCAGUACUCCUAAAAUUAGGCGGCUAUGGCAUAAUACGGCUUACUCCCAUUCUCAACCCCCUAACGGAAUACAUAGCCUACCCAUUCCUCAUAUUAUCCUUAUGGGGCAUAAUCAUAACAAGCCUAACAUGCCUCCGACAAACAGAUCUAAAAUCACUUAUCGCGUACUCCUCUGUAAGCCACAUAGCCCUUGUAAUUGUAGCCUCUCUCAUCCAAACCCCCUGAAGCUUCUCCGGCGCAACCACCCUUAUAAUCGCCCACGGGCUCACCUCUUCCAUAUAUUUCUGCUUGGCCAAUUCAAACUAUGAGCGCACUCAUAACCGUACCAUACUACUAUCCCGAGGACUUCAAAUUCUACUUCCACUAACAGCCUUCUGAUGGCUCACAGCAAGCCUUACUAACCUUGCCUUACCCCCCACUAUUAAUCUACUAGGCGAACUCUUUGUAAUCACAACUUCAUUUUCCUGAUCCCAUAUCACCAUUGUGUUAACGGGCCUUAAUAUACUAAUCACAGCCCUCUACUCUCUCCACAUGUUCAUUACAAUACAACGAGGAACACUCACACACCACAUAAUCAAUAUAAAACCCCCCUUCACACGAGAAAACAUAUUAAUAUUCAUACACCUCGCUCCAAUUAUCCUUUUAUCUCUCAACCCCAACAUCAUCCUGGGAUUUACUUCCUGUAAAUAUAGUUUAACUAAAACAUUAGAUUGUGAGUCUAACUAUAGAGGCCUACCACUUCUUAUUUACCGAGAAAACUCGCAAGGACUGCUAAUCCAUGCCUCCGUACUUAAAACUACGGUUUCCUCAACUUUUAAAGGAUAGCAGCUAUCCGUUGACCUUAGGAGUCAAAAACAUUGGUGCAACUCCAAAUAAAAGUAAUAAUCAUGCACACCCCCAUCAUAAUAACAACCCUCAUCUCCCUGACCCUUCCAAUUUUUGCCACCCUCACCAACCCCUAUAAAAAACGCUCAUACCCAGACUACGUAAAAACAACCGUAAUAUAUGCUUUUAUUACCAGCCUCCCCUCAACAACUUUAUUCAUCCUCUCAAACCAAGAAACGACCAUUUGGAGUUGACAUUGAAUAACGACCCAAACAUUAGACCUAACACUAAGCUUUAAACUAGAUUAUUUCUCUAUAAUAUUUAUUCCAAUCGCACUAUUCGUCACCUGGUCUAUCAUAGAAUUCUCGCUAUGAUACAUAAACUCAGACCCAAAUAUCAAUCAAUUCUUCAAGUACCUCCUUAUCUUCCUUACAGCCAUACUAACUCUAGUCACUGCCAACAACCUUUUCCAAUUCUUUAUUGGCUGGGAGGGUGUAGGAAUUAUAUCUUUUCUUCUAAUUAGCUGAUGACACGCCCGGACAGACGCCAACACAGCAGCUAUCCAAGCAAUCUUAUAUAACCGCAUUGGCGACAUUGGUCUUAUCCUAGCCAUAACAUGAUUCCUCCUGCAUUACAACUCAUGAGACCUCCAACAAAUACUAGCCCUAAACUCCAACUCAAACUCCCUACCAUUAGUGGGCCUCCUCCUAGCAGCAGCAGGAAAAUCAGCUCAAUUCGGCCUCCACCCUUGACUACCCUCUGCCAUAGAAGGCCCAACUCCAGUCUCAGCCCUACUCCACUCCAGUACAAUAGUCAUUGCCGGAGUGUUCUUACUCAUCCGCUUCCAUCCUCUAAUAGAAACCAACACAAUAAUUCAAAAUCUUACAUUAUGCCUAGGAGCUACUACUACCCUAUUUACAGCCAUCUGCGCCCUCACACAAAACGACAUUAAAAAAAUUGUAGCCUUCUCCACCUCAAGCCAACUAGGUCUAAUAAUAAUCACCAUUGGCAUCAACCAACCAUACCUAGCAUUCCUACACAUCUGCACCCAUGCUUUCUUCAAAGCCAUGCUUUUUAUAUGCUCCGGAUCCAUUAUCCACAACCUAAACAACGAACAAGACAUUCGAAAAAUAGGAGGCCUAUUCAAAACAAUACCCCUCACCUCAACUUCCAUAAUCAUUGGCAACCUAGCACUUACAGGAAUGCCCUUCCUCACAGGCUUCUACUCUAAAGACCUCAUCAUCGAAGCCACAAACACGUCAUAUACCAACGCCUGAGCCCUAUUUAUUACUCUCAUCGCUACCUCCCUAACAAGCGCCUACAGUACUCGAACCAUCCUCCUCACCC
Molecule: long non-coding RNA, 3698 nt
Organism: Macaca fascicularis (crab-eating macaque)
Lineage: Eukaryota; Metazoa; Chordata; Mammalia; Primates; Cercopithecidae
Source: Ensembl